GGAUAUGAAAAGCAUGCUAAAUUAACAAUUUUCAGAACCUAAACUUGAGGCAUAUAAGCAGACCUCAAAGUACCAACUUUAAAACGACGACUGGGCACAGGGCUAUCGCCCGAGCCUAACUGUAGCUGCUAGUUAAACAUCAUACAUACAGACGAACAAGAGUUAGAUACAGGCUACAUCGAACUAGGAAACUGUUUUGAAGCAUCGUUGUUGCAUACUAAAUAUCAGUGUCGAAGGAUUAGUAGUCCCUCGUGUGCUUGGCCAACUCACCCUCAAACUGACUCUUCAAAUGAUCAAGUUCCUUGUCAAGAUCAUUAAUAGCCUGGUUAUAUGCCUGCAUAGGUGAGGACUGGCUUGUUGUUUGGAUCCUGAGCAGAAUUUUGUACUGGAGAGGAUGAGGCAACUUGUACCCAGCAAACAGAACAUUAUCAUCCCUAUGUAGUUGCAUGCGAACAAUGUUCCCGAUUGUAUGGUCCUCUCUUUCAACAGUAAAUGUAGCUGCAUUCAUGAUCUUCGUAUCCCUCUCAUACGAAACCUUCUUAACGCCUUCUGGAACAACGAAUCGUUCGUAACGAUCUGGAGCAUUCAUCUUUCUU
RNAcentral lists this unclassified non-coding RNA (596 nucleotides) under Hevea brasiliensis (rubber tree). The record is from RNAcentral. Lineage: Eukaryota; Viridiplantae; Streptophyta; Magnoliopsida; Malpighiales; Euphorbiaceae.